This 550-nucleotide ribosomal RNA is filed under the name uncultured Glomeromycotina. Its description in RNAcentral is "SSU rRNA". It matches the Rfam family "Eukaryotic small subunit ribosomal RNA", at positions 548 to 1097 of the family's 1831-position model. Lineage: Eukaryota; Fungi; Glomeromycota. The record is from RNAcentral.
UUGGAGGGCAAGUCUGGUGCCAGCAGCCGCGGUAAUUCCAGCUCCAAUAGCGUAUAUUAAAGUUGUUGCAGUUAAAAAGCUCGUAGUUGAAUUUCGGGAUUCAUCCGUUGGUCGGGCUUCACGGUCCGUACUGGUGUGAUGGGUUCCUACCUUCUGAAUAACCGGCAUGCCAUUAAUUUGGUGCGCCGGGGAAGCAGAACUAUUACCUUGAAAAAAUUAGAGUGCUUAAAGCAGGCAAGUGCCUGAAUAGGUUAGCAUGGAAUAAUAAAAUAGGACGGCAUGGUUCUAUUUUGUUGGUUUCUAGGAUCACCGUAAUGAUUAAUAGGAAUAGUUGGGGGCAUUAGUAUUCAAUUGUCAGAGGUGAAAUUCUUGGAUUUAUUGAAGACUAACUUCUGCGAAAGCAUUUGCCAAGGAUGUUUUCAUUAAUCAAGAACGAAAGUUAGGGGAUCGAAGACGAUCAGAUACCGUCGUAGUCUUAACCAUAAACUAUGCCGACUAGGGAUCGGACGAUGUUAAUUUUUUAAUGACUCGUUCGGCGCCUUACGGGAAA